CUUCUUCCUUCCUCGGAUGACUUUGGAACUCUGCAUAUACAAAAGACCUGGACAUUUGCUUUUGAAAAGUCACACAACAGGAAGAAAUGGCAGGAGAAGAGGCCGAAUGCUAGCAAACAAAUGCUCUGACCAAAUACCCUGUAAACAAAUAACACAAGUACCCUGAAACAAGGCUCAGAAUAAAAGCAGUGGACCACUGACUGAAACACAGUGUGGACUGUCGGUUUGAGCAUCCCAUGGUGGUACCUGACCCUGACCUUGACGCGUUCUCACGCCCGGCCAGGAAGAACACCAC
Molecule: long non-coding RNA, 295 nt
Organism: Mus musculus (house mouse)
Lineage: Eukaryota; Metazoa; Chordata; Mammalia; Rodentia; Muridae
Product: predicted gene, 30589
Exons: 3
Source: RefSeq, a predicted model, not a curated record